This 649-nucleotide unclassified non-coding RNA is filed under the name Anthonomus grandis grandis. RNAcentral's name for it is "uncharacterized LOC126736678". The record is from RNAcentral. Lineage: Eukaryota; Metazoa; Arthropoda; Insecta; Coleoptera; Curculionidae.
GACAUACCUGUAUUGGUUUUUUGACGUUAUUCAUUAAUACGGGGGGAGUCACCCAUGGUAAUGAGAUAUUUCAGGCGGACAUGCGCGCCCAUGAUGCGUGGGACCGUUGGUAAUGAAUUCUCAUGUCUGGCUUCUUCUGUUUCGUCUUUUAACUAGGUUCAAGUGAUUGGUGUUGUUAUUUCGCUCACGAUUUCUGGUUUUAUGGAGCUUAAUAACACCGAAUUUACAGAUGUCUGAAAGAUACAAACAAUCAUCAUGGUCCUCCACCGAAAAAAAUUCAAAAUUCACCAUUGGCAUCAUCGGUCUUUUUCUGGAACUGCUGGUCUUCCUCCAUUACAACACUUUCAUCGGAUGGACGAACCAUUUCCACAUAUUCAGGGUCCUUUGCAGGAUAUUGGGAUGCACCUGUCUCCUGUUGGAUGGAAAAGCGGAAUUUUUUGGAAUCGCUUACGUCAUCAUGACCUUAUCCUGGACAGUUGAGUGGAUAUAUCGGAAACUCGCAUCCAUUUAACAUAACCUGAAGUGUAUAAUUAUAAAUAACUAUAUUGUGAUAUUUACUAAUUUAUUGUAAAUAAUAGGUUAAUACAGUGUGGCCCAAUGACAAAUCUGUGUGUUUUCGAAUAAAAGUAAUAUUUUUUUUUACAAGCGA